GGGCCCGCACAAGCGGUGGAGCAUGUGGUUUAAUUCGAUGAUACGCGAGGAACCUUACCAGGGCUUAAAUGUAGUGGGACAGGUCUAGAGAUAGACCCUUCUUCGGACUCAUUACAAGGUGCUGCAUGGUUGUCGUCAGCUCGUGCCGUGAGGUGUCAGGUUAAGUCCUAUAACGAGCGCAACCCCUAUCGUUAGUUGCCAGCGGGUAAUGCCGGGAACUCUAACAAGACUGCCGGUGCAAACCGUGAGGAAGGUGGGGAUGACGUCAAAUCAUCACGGCCCUUACGUCCUGGCCACACACGUGCUACAAUGGCCGGUACAGAGAGCAGCCACUACGCGAGUAGGAG
RNAcentral lists this ribosomal RNA (347 nucleotides) under uncultured bacterium. RNAcentral's name for it is "bacterial SSU rRNA". It matches the Rfam family "Bacterial small subunit ribosomal RNA", at positions 917 to 1267 of the family's 1533-position model. The record is from RNAcentral.